This 477-nucleotide ribosomal RNA is filed under the name uncultured bacterium. Its description in RNAcentral is "partial 16S ribosomal RNA". It matches the Rfam family "Bacterial small subunit ribosomal RNA", at positions 28 to 507 of the family's 1533-position model. The record is from RNAcentral.
GAUUAACGCUGGCGGCGUGCAUAACACAUGCAAGUCGAACGAUGAAACUUAAAUGAUUUCUUCGGAAUGAACUUAAGUGGAUUAGUGGCGGACGGGUGAGUAACGCGUGAGUAACCUGCCUUACACAAGGGGAUAGCCGUUGGAAACGACGAAUAAUACCCUAUGAUGUUUCUAUCACGCAUGAGAUAUUAACCAAAGUGUUAGCGGUGUAAGAUGGACUUGCGUCUGAUUAGCUAGUUGGUGAGAAAAAAGCCCACCAAGGCAACGAUCAGUAGCCGGCUUGAGAGAGUGUACGGCCACAUUGGGACUGAGACACGGCCCAGACUCCUACGGGAGGCAGCAGUGGGGAAUUUUGUACAAUGGGGGAAAUCCUGAUGCAGCGACGCCGCGUGAUUUAGAAGGCCUUCGGGUUGUAAAAAUCUUUUGUAUAGGAAGAAAAUGACAGUACUAUACGAAUAAGGUCCGGCUAAUUACGUG